GAGAAGAUUCGACCUAUUGAUAAGAAGCUUGAGUACCAGAUUCAGAAGCUAACAAAAGUUCCCGUUGUGUCAAAAGAGAAUGCAUUCACGAACGAAAAGGAUUCAGCUACACCUCAGGCUAUGGAUGAUCGAUUAAAAUAUCGUCCAAACCCUGACAUGCUCAUCAGUAAAACAGAAGGAGCUGCUGAGGAUGGAGAUGGUAUAUAUCGUCCACCAAAGUUUGCCCCGACCUCUAUGGAAGAAGAUAAGAAGUCUAGGAAGGAAAGAAAUUCAUUGAGAAAGGAUUUAGAGACACUCCGACAAGCUAGACAAAGUGAUUAUAUGAGGGAGCUGAUGGAUGACAUGGCUGGGAAACCUGAAGAGAUUAAAGAAACCGUUGGACUGGAAAAUAGAGAAGUUGCUAGAUAUGUGGCAAGAAUGGAGGAACGUGACCGAAGAGAAGAGGAGCUUUUCACUCGUGCCCCACUUACAAAGAUGGAGAAAAAGAGAGAAAAAUACCUAAAGAAGUCGAGAUAUGGGAUGGGUGGUGUAACUGAUAGUUUCUAUGAAGAAGUAAAAUCCUUGCCCUUGGAAGGUGCUGAUGGUGAGCAACCGACAGAUUUUGGUAGUGGUAGCGGAAGAAUGAAAAAACAUAAGAAACGCAAGAGUAGGCAUUGAAGACCAG
RNAcentral lists this unclassified non-coding RNA (664 nucleotides) under Hevea brasiliensis (rubber tree). Lineage: Eukaryota; Viridiplantae; Streptophyta; Magnoliopsida; Malpighiales; Euphorbiaceae. The record is from RNAcentral.